Molecule: non-coding RNA, 64 nt
Organism: Heterocephalus glaber (naked mole-rat)
Lineage: Eukaryota; Metazoa; Chordata; Mammalia; Rodentia; Bathyergidae
Source: Rfam
GGGGAUUUAGCUCAGUGGUUCCAGCGCGUGCCUUGCAAGCACAAGGUCCCAAGUUCAAUCCCCA